GCACCGCCAUCGCUCAGAUGGAGACGAGCGAGACAAGGCAAGUCGCGAGGAGGUGGGAUGGGGUUAGCCCAGCCAUAAGCGUAUCACGACCGUUCGUUCGUGAUCGGACGUUAACUCGUAUAGACGAAUGAGAGGGCUUCAAACUGGCUUCGGGAGUAGCAGCCCCCAGGACAGUCGGCCCGUUAGUAGCCCACGCGUGAGUAGAGGCGCAUCAGACAGCCCAGUUCGCGACCUGAACAUUGAUUUGACGGUGAUCUACAUCCCACACGCGAAAUCAACGGCUCACGAGCAAGGAUGCGUGAGAGAGCUCGG
Molecule: long non-coding RNA, 312 nt
Filed under: Hordeum vulgare
Lineage: Eukaryota; Viridiplantae; Streptophyta; Magnoliopsida; Poales; Poaceae
Description: long non-coding RNA (HVUL_LNC012908)
Source: RNAcentral